GGCCAGUUAGCUCAGUAGGUAGAGCAGAGGACUGAAAAUCCUCGUGUCGGGAGUUCGAUUCUCUCACUGGCCACCA
RNAcentral lists this transfer RNA (76 nucleotides) under Nitrospiraceae bacterium. RNAcentral describes it as "tRNA-Phe". It matches the Rfam family "tRNA". Rfam says of the family: Transfer RNA (tRNA) molecules are approximately 80 nucleotides in length. The record is from RNAcentral. RNAcentral also lists the same sequence under 1 other name. Lineage: Bacteria; Pseudomonadati; Nitrospirota; Nitrospiria; Nitrospirales; Nitrospiraceae.